GAUGAAUGCUGGCGGCGUGCCUAAUACAUGCAAGUCGAGCGGCAGCGAGGGUCUCAUCCUAUUCUGGAAGCUUUCGAGAAUAGAAUGAGAUCUGUCGGCGAGCGGCGGACGGCUGAGUAACGCAUGGGAACGCACCCCAAACUGAGGGAUAACUAGUCGAAAGAUUAGCUAAUACCGCAUGUGAUCUUCGGAUUAAAGCUUUCGGGCGGUUUGGGAGCGGCCUGUGUACGAUUAGAUAGUUGGUGAGGUAAUGGCUCACCAAGUCGACGAUCGUUAGAUGGUUUGAGAGGAUGAUCAUCCAGACUGGGACUGAGACACGGCCCAGACUCC
Molecule: ribosomal RNA, 330 nt
Filed under: uncultured bacterium
Lineage: Bacteria
Description: bacterial SSU rRNA
Rfam family: Bacterial small subunit ribosomal RNA
Source: RNAcentral